This 396-nucleotide ribosomal RNA is filed under the name uncultured bacterium. RNAcentral's name for it is "bacterial SSU rRNA". It matches the Rfam family "Bacterial small subunit ribosomal RNA", at positions 28 to 428 of the family's 1533-position model. The record is from RNAcentral.
GACGAACGCUGGCGGCGUGCUUAACACAUGCAAGUCGAGCGGUAAGGCCCUUUCGGGGGUACACGAGCGGCGAACGGGUGAGUAACACGUGGGUGACCUGCCCUCAGCUCUGGGAUAAGCCUGGGAAACUGGGUCUAAUACUGGAUAUGACUCCACGGUGCAUGUCGUGGGGUGGAAAGCCUUGUGCGGCUGAGGAUGGGCCCGCGGCCUAUCAGCUUGUUGGUGGGGUGAUGGCCUACCAAGGCGACGACGGGUAGCCGGCCUGAGAGGGCGACCGGCCACACUGGGACUGAGACACGGCCCAGACUCCUACGGGAGGCAGCAGUGGGGAAUCUUGCGCAAUGGGCGAAAGCCUGACGCAGCGACGCCGCGUGAGGGAUGACGGCCUCGGUGUAA